Molecule: ribosomal RNA, 468 nt
Filed under: uncultured bacterium
Lineage: Bacteria
Description: partial 16S ribosomal RNA
Rfam family: Bacterial small subunit ribosomal RNA
Source: RNAcentral
GACGAACGCUGGCGGCGUGCUUAACACAUGCAAGUCGAACGGAAAGGCCCUGCUUUUGUGGGGUGCUCGAGUGGCGAACGGGUGAGUAACACGUGAGUAACCUGCCCUUGACUUUGGGAUAACUUCAGGAAAAUGGGGCUAAUACCGGAUAGGAGCUCCUGCUGCAUGGUGGGGGUUGGAAAGUUUCGGCGGUUGGGGAUGGACUCGCGGCUUAUCAGCUGGUUGGUGGGGUAGUGGCUUACCAAGGCUUUGACGGGUAGCCGGCCUGGGAGGGUGACCGGCCACAUUGGGACUGAGAGACGGCCCAGACUCCUACGGGAGGCAGCAGUGGGGAAUAUUGCACAAUGGGCGGAAGCCUGAUGCAGCAACGCCGCGUGCGGGAUGACGGCCUUCGGGUUGUAAACCGCUUUCGCCUGUGACGAAGCGUGAGUGACGGUAAUGGGUAAAGAAGCACCGGCUAACUACGUG